RNAcentral lists this transfer RNA (70 nucleotides) under Bos taurus (domestic cattle). It matches the Rfam family "tRNA". From Rfam's summary of the family: Transfer RNA (tRNA) molecules are approximately 80 nucleotides in length. Their secondary structure includes four short double-helical elements and three loops (D, anti-codon, and T loops). Lineage: Eukaryota; Metazoa; Chordata; Mammalia; Artiodactyla; Bovidae. The record is from Rfam by way of RNAcentral. RNAcentral also lists the same sequence under 2 other names.
UCCCAGGUAGCUCAGUGUAAAGAAUCUGCCUCCCAAGCAGAAGAUGUGGGUUCAAUCCUCGGAUUGGGAA